UGGGGAAUAUUGGGCAAUGGGCGCAAGCCUGACCCAGCAACGCCGCGUGAAGGAUGAAGGUCUUCGGAUUGUAAACUUUUGUCUUCAGGGACGAUAAUGACGGUACCUGAGGAGGAAGCCACGGCUAACUACGUGCCAGCAGCCGCGGUAAUACGUAGGUGGCAAGCGUUAUCCGGAUUUACUGGGUGUAAAGGGCGUGUAGGCGGGAUGGUAGGUCAGAUGUGAAAUACCGCAGCUUAACUGCGGGGCUGCAUUUGAAACCCCCAUUCUUGAGUGUUGGAGAGGUAAGUGGAAUUCCUAGUGUAGCGGUGAAAUGCGUAGAUAUUAGGAGGAACACCAGUGGCGAAGGCGACUUACUGGACAAUAACUGACGCUGAGGCGCGAAAGCGUGGGGAGCAAACAGG
Molecule: ribosomal RNA, 404 nt
Filed under: uncultured prokaryote
Also listed under: 1 other name
Description: bacterial SSU rRNA
Rfam family: Bacterial small subunit ribosomal RNA
Source: RNAcentral